This 913-nucleotide ribosomal RNA is filed under the name Stropharia populicola. Its description in RNAcentral is "Stropharia sp. NM-2021a partial large subunit ribosomal RNA". It matches the Rfam family "Eukaryotic large subunit ribosomal RNA", at positions 49 to 951 of the family's 3401-position model. Lineage: Eukaryota; Fungi; Basidiomycota; Agaricomycetes; Agaricales; Strophariaceae. The record is from RNAcentral.
UGGGGAGGACGACUAAAAGGAUUCCCCUAGUAACUGCGAGUGAAGCGGGAAAAGCUCAAAUUUAAAAUCUGGCAGUCUUUGAUUGUCCGAGUUGUAAUCUAGAGAAGUGUUAUCCGCGCUGGACCGUGUACAAGUCUCCUGGAAUGGAGCGUCAUAGAGGGUGAGAAUCCCGUCUUUGACACGGACUGCCAGGGCUUUGUGAUGCGCUCUCGAAGAGUCGAGUUGUUUGGGAAUGCAGCUCAAAAUGGGUGGUAAAUUCCAUCUAAAGCUAAAUAUUGGCGAGAGACCGAUAGCGAACAAGUACCGUGAGGGAAAGAUGAAAAGAACUUUGGAAAGAGAGUUAAACAGUACGUGAAAUUGCUGAAAGGGAAACGCUUGAAGUCAGUCGCAUUGUUUGAGAAUCAACCUUGCUUUUGCGUGGUGUACUUUUCAGAUAAUGGGUCAGCAUCAAUUUUGACCGUUGGAUAAAGUCUGAAGGAAUGUGGCAUCUUCGGAUGUGUUAUAGCCUUUAGUCGUAUACAACGGUUGGGAUUGAGGAACUCAGCACGCCGCAAGGCCGGGUACUUGUACCACGUUCGUGCUUAGGAUGCUGGCAUAAUGGCUUUAAUCGACCCGUCUUGAAACACGGACCAAGGAGUCUAACAUGCCUGCGAGUAUUUGGGUGGAAAACCCGAGUGCGUAAUGAAAGUGAAAGUUGAGAUCCCUGUCAUGGGGAGCAUCGACGCCCGGACCAGACCUUUUGUGACGGAUCUGCGGUAGAGCAUGUAUGUUGGGACCCGAAAGAUGGUGAACUAUGCCUGAAUAGGGUGAAGCCAGAGGAAACUCUGGUGGAGGCUCGUAGCGAUUCUGACGUGCAAAUCGAUCGUCAAAUUUGGGUAUAGGGGCGAAAGACUAAUCGAACCAUCUGGUUGGC